UGCCCUAGUAUUCAUCCUGACUUGCUGACUGCUCACCAAAGCACUGAGUGCUCUUAGCUGUCACUGUGCAAUUUCCUGGCUAAAGGAGAUCUGGAAUGUAGAAGUAUUCAUCACCAGAGGUUUUGCUGGAUUCCAGGCCUUCAAUGAAGCAAUCCUGAGUCUUUACUGUAAGCCACCUGAUACAGGAAUGAAGGACCAAGUGCCAUUUGGGAACCUCUCUGGUGUGAUGCUCUAACCAUGUAUGCAGAAUGAAACAACUGGAUGUAGCCAAAUAGAAAUGGUAUUGCAGAAACAGCUGGGAAAUGUAAGCAAAUCAGAGUUUGGGGUGGAUCCCUUGACAUAAGCUGGCGAAGGUUUAAGCUGUUUCUCCAGGAUGGUAAGAAAUGUGUUUCCAUGUUAAAUAAGCACUAAAUGUAACAUGCCACUUUCAUCCAUUUCAGAGCUGCUGCUGGUUUUCUUUGUGAUGGCUGUUGCACACCAUCUACCAUCAGGAUAGGCCGCAUCCCUGUUCCUUAGGAGGCUUCGUGAUUUAGAGUACGGUACAGGAGGAAGUUGCUCGUCAGGUCUCGACACAGGACAGAAAGGUAAUUGUGUUCAGUUUUAACUCCAGCUCUGAAGAGGGUUUCUUGAUAAGGCUGAUGGUGGCUGCCCGUGAAGCGAGGACACCGACACGCUGCCCUGUGCUGAUUAAACACCUUUGCCUCGCGUCCAGCUGACAGCCUACGUACAGACCCUGCUUCAGACAGCGUGUUCUGAGCAGGCAGCCUCACCGUGCACGUGAACGUCCAUGCCAUCAAAUCCCUCCUCUUUGUCACGAGCACUGAGCAGAAAACUCCUCUGUUAAGUAGGGUGACAAGUUUCCAGCGAGCCUGGGAUCGCGGGGAGAGCGAACACCGGUAUCCCCGCGGCACACACGCUCCCUCGCAUGACGGAGCUGGCACGGCGAUAGUACGGUGCGAUACGAACCGCAGGAAUUGAGUCAGCGCAGCGCUGCGUGGUGAUCUGCUCCCUGCCGGGCUGCCACGCUGCUGGGGUGACCGGGAACGAUUUAUUAUGGCCUGGGCCAACCCCGCUCUCCCUCCUUGCACCCCAUAAAGCCGCCGGGCCAGGGGCUGGGCACCCAGCUUUGUGCCAAGGCUGGAUUACAGCCCCAAAGAUUUUUUUCAGGGGUGAAGCUAUGCUGGGAACGUGUCCCCCUUCCCCCAGUAAAUAAGAAAUAAAUCAGGAAAAUAAAUAAUAAUAAAACAAAAAAAA
Cygnus atratus (black swan) is the source of this 1254-nucleotide long non-coding RNA. RefSeq lists it as uncharacterized. NCBI's taxonomy places the organism in Eukaryota, Metazoa, Chordata, Aves, Anseriformes, Anatidae. The transcript is spliced from 6 exons. The record is from RefSeq and is a predicted model, not a curated record.